This 162-nucleotide non-coding RNA is filed under the name marine eukaryotic metagenome. The record is from RNAcentral.
GGGUGACCGACCGUCUGAAAGAAGCCGGAGUGCAAACCUGCGAGCUGACGAACAGAAACCGCAUAUAAGGCCGAACUCCUGGGUGAGUGAGCACAACAUCACGAAACCCGCCUGGAGAACAUGGGGGAUGGUAAAUGCGGCAGUUGUGCAGGGAAAGAUCAU